CCCUUAGAUGUUCUGGGCCGCACGCGCGCUACACUGAUUCAUGCAACAAGUUUUGUCCUUGGCUGAUAGGCCUGGGUAAUCUUUGAACGUGAAUCGUGAUGGGGAUAGAUGAUUGCAAUUAUUCAUCUUCAACGAGGAAUUCCUAGUAAACGCAAGUCAUCAGCUUGCAUUGAUUACGUCCCCGCCCUUUGUACACACCGCCCGUCGCACCUACCGAUUGAAUGGUCCGGUGAAAUCUUCGGAUCUGAGAGAUGUCUGAUUAAUUUCGGACGCCUUUUGGAAAAGUUGUUUAAACCUUACCAUUUAGAGGAAGGUGAAGUCGUAACA
RNAcentral lists this ribosomal RNA (327 nucleotides) under uncultured eukaryote. Its description in RNAcentral is "partial 18S ribosomal RNA". It matches the Rfam family "Eukaryotic small subunit ribosomal RNA", at positions 1470 to 1796 of the family's 1831-position model. The record is from RNAcentral.